Molecule: long non-coding RNA, 704 nt
Organism: Equus caballus (horse)
Lineage: Eukaryota; Metazoa; Chordata; Mammalia; Perissodactyla; Equidae
Source: RefSeq, a predicted model, not a curated record
GCAAGGGCCGUGACGUAAGAGGAAGCCCGUCUCCGGGCCGGAAGCUCGGCCGAGCGGGGCGGGGGGCGCUUCCGAUCAGGCUUGUCAGAGCCGCUACCCGCCAGCGCCCGUCGCCUUUAGCAAGGUCCCGCCAGCUCCCACGACACCGGCCGGGGCUUUUAAAGUGACACAGCCUAUGUCCUGAGAGUACAUAUAAGCGAUUGUGUGCGGCCUAGAGACUUAAACUAGCAUCCCGGCGCGCAUCCUCCCUCCAAAGAAACGGACGUUGCCUUUGUGCGCACCUGCCUUCCCCCAGGGUGACCGUGAUGCUGGGCUGGUUUGCUGUUCUCUGACUCAUCUUUCUGGUUUUACUACACAGUAGUGCACACCCCUCCUCACUGCCGAGGAAAAGCAAUCAAGAUGUUUCAAGAACAGGCUGCAGAACAACACUCUGGGGCUGAAGUAAAGGAGACAGUGGGGUUGAGCAGCGGGUGUCCCAGGAACGGAAACCAUAGCCGUGAAGGGCAAAUGGCAUGAGGAUCUACGGGGGUGCACAGAGACCCCCCCACCCCCUCCCUGAAAGGUUUCGGCUUAUGCCUUCCUCCUCUAUCCCACAGCAUUGGAGAGGUGGUUCUGGUUUGCUUUCAAAGGCUUUAAACUCUGCUACGGUGUUAGUGACUCCUACAUGCUGGAUUACCGGCAGACUGCUGAUGCACAAGGACGUG